This is a long non-coding RNA of Etheostoma cragini (Arkansas darter), 107 nucleotides long. RefSeq lists it as uncharacterized. The record is from RefSeq and is a predicted model, not a curated record. The transcript is spliced from 3 exons. NCBI's taxonomy places the organism in Eukaryota, Metazoa, Chordata, Actinopteri, Perciformes, Percidae.
CCCCGCCACAAUGCAAAGAAAAACCUGUUCGUCCGCCUCUCCUCGGCCUGCAAACGCCGAAGCACUUCAGGACUGGAAUUCGAAAGCAGCAACGCUGAAAGCAGCAG